RNAcentral lists this ribosomal RNA (880 nucleotides) under uncultured marine microorganism. RNAcentral describes it as "bacterial SSU rRNA". It matches the Rfam family "Bacterial small subunit ribosomal RNA", at positions 8 to 932 of the family's 1533-position model. The record is from RNAcentral.
AGAGUUUGAUCAUGGCUCAGGAUGAACGCUGGCGGUAUGCCUAACACAUGCAAGUCGAACGAUGUCUUCGGACAUAGUGGCGGACGGGUGAGUAACGCGUGAGAAUCUGCCUCUAGGAUGGGGAUAACGGUUGGAAACGACCGCUAACACCCAAUAUGCCGUAAGGUGAAAAAUUUAUUGCCUGGAGAGGAGCUCGCGUCUGAUUAGCUAGUUGGUGGGGUAAGAGCUCACCAAGGCUUCGAUCAGUAGCUGGUCUGAGAGGAUGAGCAGCCACACUGGGACUGAGACACGGCCCAGACUCCUACGGGAGGCAGCAGUGGGGAAUUUUCCGCAAUGGGCGAAAGCCUGACGGAGCAAUACCGCGUGAGGGAGGAAUGCCUUUGGGUUGUAAACCUCUUUUCUCAGGGAAGAAGAUCUGACGGUACCUGAGGAAUAAGUAUCGGCUAACUCCGUGCCAGCAGCCGCGGUAAUACGGAGGAUGCAAGCGUUAUCCGGAAUCAUUGGGCGUAAAGCGUCCGCAGGUGGUUUCCAAAGUCUGCUGUUAAAGACUGGAGCUCAACUCCGGAACGGCGGUGGAAACUUGGAAACUAGAGUUCGGUAGGGGUAGCAGGAAUUCCCAGUGUAGCGGUGAAAUGCGUAGAUAUUGGGAAGAACAUCGGUGGCGAAGGCGUGCUACUGGACCGUAACUGACACUCAGGGACGAAAGCUAGGGGAGCGAAAGGGAUUAGAUACCCCUGUAGUCCUAGCUGUAAACGAUGGAAACUAGGUGUGGCUUGUAUCGACCCGAGCCGUGCCGUAGCUAACGCGUUAAGUUUCCCGCCUGGGGAGUACGCACGCAAGUGUGAAACUCNAAGGAAUUGACGGGGGCCCGCACAAGCGG